Long non-coding RNA from Physella acuta, 2237 nucleotides. RefSeq lists it as uncharacterized. The record is from RefSeq and is a predicted model, not a curated record. Lineage: Eukaryota; Metazoa; Mollusca; Gastropoda; Physidae.
UCUAUGGGCAGUCUUUAAUUAAGGCUAGGGAGAGUGGAAAUUUCUGUGGGUAGUCUUUAAUUAAGGCUAGGGGGGAAUGGAAAAUUCUGUGGGUAGUCUUUAAGGUUAGGGGGAGUGGAAAGUUCAGUAGGGAGUCUGUUAGGUUAGGGGGAGUGGAAAGUUCUGUGGGUAGUCAGUCGUGUCAGAUGGAGAAGGAACCUCUGUGGGCAGUAUGAAUAUUAAAAUUUGUUUUUCAUGUUCAGUGAUAACUCUCUUCUUCCUAUAGUGAAUACUUAUAGAUAUAAAUUAUAAACCCACUAUUUUAUCUACCAUCCAUUGUUUACUACAGGGAUGUUAUUUUUACUUCAAAUGUUGCAUGUUUUUGUUUUUUACUUCACACCACCUGAAUUUUAAAAAAAACAACUAUUCAUUCACUCCUGUCUAGCAAAACUUCCUAUUACAAGGGAGGCUAAUAUUGCUGCCAGUCAUAGUUCUUGUCAAAGCAUAAAAGAGAAUAAAAAACUCAUACAUUUUUUAAAGAAAAAAAAAUGAGAAUCAAUUAGUGCCAUAAUGUUUUGUUUCACUAGAAUUGUCAACUGAUGCAAUUGUACUUUUUAUUAAUUUUAAAUUUAGUUUUAAGUCUUUGAAUUAUUUUUUAAGUGAUGACAUCCUUAUGUUAAAGUAUAUGAGAAUCUUGUACAUAGUUUUAGUCCCUGUUGAGGAUGGGAGGGGUUUGUUUAAACCAGCUGCAUUCAACCUUGCCCUGAUAGCACUAUUCCUUAACCACUCAUCAUACUAUUUUCAUGGGAAGUCAAGGGUUAACAAAUUUAUUAACGCAAUUUAAAAAAAAAUAAGACACCAAACCUUUUAAGUUUUUAAAUAUUUAAACUAGUUAAUAUAUUUUCAAGCAUUUAAUAGUUUGUACAGAAAUACAUAACACAAACUGACAUUUUUUAUAUCUAGGUUUAAAAAUUUCAAGCUUGUUGGUAUCACAAUAUGAAACUUGCAUAUAUCUGGUGGGUUGAUUCAAGUAUUUUAUGAUUCCCCAAGUAUUGUUUUAAUUUAUUGUAAAGUAUGUAAAUAUUUUUUCUUUGUGUCAGUUAAAAAGUUGACUGUUUAUAAAUGCUCUUAUUUCUGAUAUACGUUAUAAGUCAAAACUGUCGUAUGUAAACACCAGUUUUAUGUAAUUAAAUUAAAACGACUUCUGUUGAAUACAUUUGUUUCUUCUAGCUUGGAAUGUUUGUUAAUUAAUAUCUAACCUACUUAGACUGAUCCUGACUCUGUUUUCUUGUUAGUAGCAUCGUUACCAUUCUUAUAGUAUCAGUUUUCAUAUGGGGAAUUCAACUGCUAAAAAUACUUAGUGAUAUUAUGCUAACAUUAAGGAUGUUUGAAUACUAAUACAGUUUUAGAACACUGUAGUGGUAAAACAUUUGUUCUUUCACUGUGAAUAGGGUAAGUUCUAUCAAUAUUUCUGUAAUACAACUCACUUAUCAAUACAUUGAUGUCAUUUAGAUCUAGAUAAUUUUAAUUGAAUUAUGAAUCCAUUGUGAUUAGGGUAGGACUCAACACACAGAUAAUACACACCAGUAAAAAUCUUCUCUCGGAAUAAAACUUAAACAGCAAUAAAAAUCAUACCCUCAGUUUAAAUCUUAAACACCAAUAAAACAUACCCGCGAAAAUCUUACCCACAGUUUAAAUUAACACACCAAUAAAAUUCCACACAAUGAAGUCCUACAUGAUAAAGAAAGAACAAUUGCUAAUUGUGGUAUUGUCCCUUUCUGUAUCCAAUACAUCUGUUUUUUAAUAACACUUCUCAGGAAUCCUGAAAAUGCACAGAAGUUAUAAAGAGCUAUUUGUUGGUUUGUUAAUGAGCUUUGUCUCCUUGGAUGCCCAACUUAAUGUCCAACUCUUUGACUGGUUGAUUCUAUUUCACUCACAUCCAACUUUUAGGCUGUUUGUUUUCUAUUUCACAUGUGGUGUCAUUUCAUCUGCACCCUGCUCGUUACCUUGUUUAUAUCUUAUUAUUGUCAUGUUAACUCUGAGCUAAAAAUCAACUUAGUCAAUUCUUAGUCUUGAUUCCCCCAAUCACCAAAGACAGCUAAAAAUCUGGCCAGUACUAAAAUAAAUCUCAAUUUAAAAAUAAAAUUAAUUGAAUGUUAUUGUUUAACUUUGUUUAAAGGUUAGAUGACCACUGCAUAGCUUUUGGCUAGACCUUUUAGAAUAAGAUGCCUACUCCAUAACUUUGACUAGACUAAUUU